This 856-nucleotide ribosomal RNA is filed under the name uncultured bacterium. RNAcentral's name for it is "bacterial SSU rRNA". It matches the Rfam family "Bacterial small subunit ribosomal RNA", at positions 1 to 848 of the family's 1533-position model. The record is from RNAcentral.
GGAUCCAGACUUUGAUUAUGGCUCAGGAUGAACGCUAGCUACAGGCUUAACACAUGCAAGUCGAGGGGAAACGAUAGAGAAAGCUUGCUUUUUCUAGGCGUCGACCGGCGCACGGGUGAGUAACGCGUAUCCAACCUGCCCACCACUUGGGGAUAACCUUGCGAAAGUAAGACUAAUACCCAAUGAUAUCUCUAGAAGACAUCUGAAGGAGAUUAAAGAUUUAUCGGUGAUGGAUGGGGAUGCGUCUGAUUAGCUUGUCGGCGGGGUAACGGCCCACCGAGGCGACGAUCAGUAGGGGUUCUGAGAGGAAGGUCCCCCACAUUGGAACUGAGACACGGUCCAAACUCCUACGGGAGGCAGCAGUGAGGAAUAUUGGUCAAUGGGCGAGAGCCUGAACCAGCCAAGUAGCGUGCAGGAUGACGGCCCUAUGGGUUGUAAACUGCUUUUAUAAGGGAAUAAAGUGAGCCUCGUGAGGCUUUUUGCAUGUACCUUAUGAAUAAGGACCGGCUAAUUCCGUGCCAGCAGCCGCGGUAAUACGGAAGGUCCGGGCGUUAUCCGGAUUUAUUGGGUUUAAAGGGAGCGUAGGCCGGAGAUUAAGCGUGUUGUGAAAUGUAGAUGCUCAACAUCUGCACUGCAGCGCGAACUGGUUUCCUUGAGUACGCACAAAGUGGGCGGAAUUCGUGGUGUAGCGGUGAAGUGCUUAGAUAUCACGAAGAACUCCGAUUGCGAAGGCAGCUCACUGGAGCGCAACUGACGCUGAAGCUCGAAAGUGCGGGUAUCGAACAGGAUUAGAUACCCUGGUAGUCCGCACGGUAAACGAUGGAUGCCCGCUGUUGGUCUGAAUAGGUCAGCGGCC